UGAGUAACCUGCCCUUAACUCUGGGAUAAGCCUGGGAAACUGGGUCUAAUACCGGAUAUGACUCCUCAUCGCAUGGUGGGGGGUGGAAAGCUUUUUUGUGGUUUUGGAUGGACUCGCGGCCUAUCAGCUUGUUGGUGAGGUAAUGGCUCACCAAGGCGACGACGGGUAGCCGGCCUGAGAGGGUGACCGGCCACACUGGGACUGAGACACGGCCUAGACUCCUACGGGAGCAG
This 233-nucleotide ribosomal RNA is filed under the name uncultured bacterium. RNAcentral describes it as "partial 16S ribosomal RNA". It matches the Rfam family "Bacterial small subunit ribosomal RNA", at positions 118 to 347 of the family's 1533-position model. The record is from RNAcentral.